This 253-nucleotide ribosomal RNA is filed under the name uncultured bacterium. Its description in RNAcentral is "partial 16S ribosomal RNA". It matches the Rfam family "Bacterial small subunit ribosomal RNA", at positions 524 to 776 of the family's 1533-position model. The record is from RNAcentral.
UACAGAGGUCCCAAGCGUUGUUCGGAUUCAUUGGGCGUAAAAGGUGCGUAGGCGGCGCGGUAAGUCGGGUGUGAAAUCUCGGAGCUUAACUCCGAAACUGCAUUCGAUACUGCCGUGCUUGAGGACUGGAGAGGAGACUGGAAUUUACGGUGUAGCGGUGAAAUGCGUAGAUAUCGUAAGGAAGACCAGUGGCGAAGGCGGGUCUCUGGACAGUUCCUGACGCUGAGGCACGAAGGCCAGGGGAGCAAACGGG